GGCUCGUUGGUCUAGGGGUAUGAUUCUUGCUUUCGGGUGCGAGAGGUCCCGGGUUCAAAUCCUGGACGAGCCC
This 73-nucleotide transfer RNA is filed under the name Danionella translucida. It matches the Rfam family "tRNA". Rfam says of the family: Transfer RNA (tRNA) molecules are approximately 80 nucleotides in length. Their secondary structure includes four short double-helical elements and three loops (D, anti-codon, and T loops). Further hydrogen bonds mediate the characteristic L-shaped molecular structure. tRNAs have two regions of fundamental functional importance: the anti-codon, which is responsible for specific mRNA codon recognition, and the 3' end, to which the tRNAs corresponding amino acid is attached (by aminoacyl-tRNA synthetases). tRNAs cope with the degeneracy of the genetic code in two manners: having more than one tRNA (with a specific anti-codon) for a particular amino acid; and 'wobble' base-pairing, i.e. permitting non-standard base-pairing at the 3rd anti-codon position. Lineage: Eukaryota; Metazoa; Chordata; Actinopteri; Cypriniformes; Danionidae. The record is from Rfam by way of RNAcentral. RNAcentral also lists the same sequence under 1 other name.